GAAAGACGAUCAGGUUGAUAGGUUCGAGGUGGAAGUGCAGCAAUGCAUGCAGCUGACGAAUACUAAUCGGUCGAGGGCUUAUCCUA
This 86-nucleotide ribosomal RNA is filed under the name Paenibacillus sp. BC26. RNAcentral's name for it is "partial 23S rRNA. Bacterial LSU". It matches the Rfam family "Bacterial large subunit ribosomal RNA", at positions 2839 to 2925 of the family's 2925-position model. The record is from RNAcentral. Lineage: Bacteria; Bacillati; Bacillota; Bacilli; Caryophanales; Paenibacillaceae.